AUGUGUACCCUCGUCGCCGCCGCCCCCAAACGCGAUGUGCCCUUGCCGCCGCCGCCGCCGCCCCCGCCCCCAACCACCGCACCCAGCCUCCUCUAUCUGACUAUGUCCUCACCCCCAAGCAGCGGACCGUCCGUCCCCUCUCGCCCGUGUUCGCCGCCUCCUCCUCACACGCGUCGCCGCAGCCCUUAUCUUCUCACCGGCGGCGCCUGUUUCUUUCGCCCCACGCCGCCUCUCGGUCAAGUUAAAGAUGUUUUUUUUGUGAAGAGGAGGUGUGGCAGCGGCAAGGAGCAACAAAAUGAGCUAUGCAGCCGGAUGAUUCUGAAGUUGCUGGAUCUGAAGCGGGAGGACGUCGCCAUGUAG
Molecule: ribosomal RNA, 360 nt
Filed under: Triticum aestivum (bread wheat)
Lineage: Eukaryota; Viridiplantae; Streptophyta; Magnoliopsida; Poales; Poaceae
Description: partial small subunit ribosomal RNA
Source: RNAcentral